RNAcentral lists this long non-coding RNA (1089 nucleotides) under Betta splendens (Siamese fighting fish). Its description in RNAcentral is "lncRNA (ENSBSLG00000003089.1)". Lineage: Eukaryota; Metazoa; Chordata; Actinopteri; Anabantiformes; Osphronemidae. The record is from RNAcentral.
GUGCGGCAGCCUGCUGUUGUUCGCCUGUGACUUUACAAAGCUGUGCUGUGACACAUCACUCCUCUGAUCAGAGCUCACAGACUUAUCAGCAUAUGUCCCGCCGCGCGCACGUGGCUGCAGGCUUCUAAUGAACUGAGGGAGGCGCUUUUCAUGCCAGAGCAGCUGUGGGCUACAGAUACGCAGAGCGGCCUGAUUGACGCUGCAGCUUCUGUAUGAGUUAGUUGUCCUAGUAGGUUACGUCUUACAUCUGGCUGUCAGCCAUGAUCAUUUACAUCCUCGUGGGACUUUGCAGAAGGCCCAGACUUUGGGAAACGCUGUGCCACCAAGCACGACGGAAGGACGGACGCGUCGCUGGAGAGGUGACGGUGAUGGAGACUCAGGGAGGUUCUGUGUGUUCCGUCCCUGCAGAUGCUGCACCUCCAGCGGGUCCUGGCGCUGGAGAAGAUGACGGUGACACAGGUCAACGGCCAGCGGAAGUACGGAGGCCCACCAGAGGGUCUUCCUCGCGGUCCAGCACAGUACGGAGAAGAGGAAACUGUGCUUUGGAGAGCUGCCGGCCUCCACCAGGCAGGAGGACCUGCUGCAGUGCUGCAAGGGCUUGCAGAGGGGGUGAAGCGGUUGUCCCUGAAGCCGGACCUGAAGGGGGUGUCCGCCAUAGUGGCCUUCUCUACCCAUCACACGGCUUCUAUGGCCAAGAAGGGGCUGGUGGAAGGUGAGGGAGCUUCUUUGAUGCUCAUCACAUCACACAUGGUCCUGCUUUUUUUUUUUUUUUUUUUUAUUAACUCCUACACAUGGGUGCACAGCACAAUGAGCUGUGAUCCCUUAUCUACCUCUAAUGUACACCUCUAAUGUCAUGGAGGCCAGGCACAGCUUCUACACCACCUUCUCCCAUCAGCGAAAAUCGUUCAGGAUACAUUCUGGUGUUUUCUUUGUUUUUCUCCAGCGUUCAAGAGGCAUUUUAAUUUAACUGUCAUGGUCAAGUGGCACACACGAUGAGCCCAAAGGAGCCAUGGGCUCAUCAGAAGCCCUCCCGCUACCUCCCCUACACCGUUGGACGGAACUGUCCAAUAAAUGCAGAACACUUGUUCA